This 468-nucleotide ribosomal RNA is filed under the name uncultured bacterium. RNAcentral describes it as "partial 16S ribosomal RNA". It matches the Rfam family "Bacterial small subunit ribosomal RNA", at positions 28 to 507 of the family's 1533-position model. The record is from RNAcentral.
GACGAACGCUGGCGGCGUGCUUAACACAUGCAAGUCGAACGGAAAGGCCCUGCUUUUGUGGGGUGCUCGAGUGGCGAACGGGUGAGUAACAUGUGAGUAACCUGCCCUUGACUUUGGGAUAACUUCAGGAAACUGGGGCUAAUACCGGAUAGGAGCUCCUGCUGCAUGGUGGGGGUUGGAAAGUUUCGGCGGUAGGGGAUAGACUCGCGGGUUAUCAGCUUGUUGGUGGGGUAGUGGCUUACCAAGGCUUUGACGGAUAGCCGGCAUGGGAGGGUGACCAGCCACCAGAGGACUAAGAUACGGCCCAGACUCCUACGGGAGGCAGCAGUGGGGAAUAUUGCACAGUGGGCGGAAGCCUGAUGCAGCAACGCCGCGUGCGGGAUGACGGCCUUCGGGUUGUAAACCGCUUUCGCCUGUGACGAAGCGUGAUUGACGGUAAUGGGUAAAGAAGCACCGGCUAACUACGUG